AACCUCCGCAAUGUGAGAAAUCGCGACGGGGGGAUCCCAAGUGCCAUUCUUAACGGGGUGGCUUUUCAUUAGUGUAAAGAGCUUUUGGAAUAAGGGCUGGGCAAGACCGGUGCCAGCCGCCGCGGUAACACCGGCAGCUCUAGUGGUAGCAGUUUUUAUUGGGCCUAAAGCGUCCGUAGCCGGUUUAAUAAGUCUCUGGUGAAAUCCUGUAGCUUAACUGUGGGAAUUGCUGGAGAUACUAUUAGACUUGAGACCGGGAGAGGUUAGAGGUACUCCCAGGGUAGAGGUGAAAUUCUGUAAUCCUGGGAGGACCGCCUGUUGCGAAGGCGUCUAACUGGAACGGUUCUGACGGUGAGGGACGAAAGUUAGGGGCGCGAACCGGAUUAGAUACCCGGGUAGUCCUAGCCGUAAACGAUGCGGACUUGGUGUUGGGGUGGCUUUGAGCUGCUCCAGUGCCGAAGGGAAGCUGUUAAGUCCGCCGCCUGGGAAGUACGGUCGCAAGACUGAAACUUAAAGGAAUU
This 521-nucleotide ribosomal RNA is filed under the name uncultured bacterium. RNAcentral describes it as "bacterial SSU rRNA". It matches the Rfam family "Archaeal small subunit ribosomal RNA", at positions 345 to 866 of the family's 1478-position model. The record is from RNAcentral.